Molecule: ribosomal RNA, 426 nt
Filed under: uncultured bacterium
Lineage: Bacteria
Description: bacterial SSU rRNA
Rfam family: Bacterial small subunit ribosomal RNA
Source: RNAcentral
GUGGGGAAUAUUGCACAAUGGGGGAAACCCUGAUGCAGCAACGCCGCGUGAAGGAUGAAGGUUUUCGGAUCGUAAACUUCUUUGAUUGGGGACGAAAAAAGACGGUACCCAAGGAACAAGCCACGGCUAACUACGUGCCAGCAGCCGCGGUAAUACGUAGGUGGCGAGCGUUGUCCGGAAUUACUGGGUGUAAAGGGCGUGUAGGCGGGGAUGCAAGUCAGAUGUGAAAUUCCGGGGCUUAACUCCGGAGGUGCAUCUGAAACUGUAUUUCUUGAGUGCUGGAGAGGGAAGCGGAAUUCCUAGUGUAGCGGUGAAAUGCGUAGAUAUUAGGAGGAACACCAGUGGCGAAGGCGGCUUUCUGGACAGUAACUGACGCUGAGGCGCGAAAGCGUGGGGAGCAAACAGGAUUAGAAACCCCAGUAGUCC